GCGUUGUCCGGAUUCAUUGGGCGUAAAGAGCGUGUAGGCGGCCAGGUAGGUCGGUUGUGAAAACUGGAGGCUCAACCUUCAGAGGUCGAUCGAAACCAUCUGGCUAGAGUCCGGGAGAGGAGAGUGGAAUUCCUGGUGUAGCGGUGAAAUGCGCAGAUAUCAGGAAGAACACCCGUGGCGAAAGCGGCUCUCUGGAACGGUACUGACGCUGAGACGCGAAAGCGUG
RNAcentral lists this ribosomal RNA (226 nucleotides) under uncultured bacterium. RNAcentral's name for it is "partial 16S ribosomal RNA". It matches the Rfam family "Bacterial small subunit ribosomal RNA", at positions 538 to 763 of the family's 1533-position model. The record is from RNAcentral.